Molecule: ribosomal RNA, 519 nt
Filed under: uncultured fungus
Lineage: Eukaryota; Fungi
Description: SSU rRNA
Rfam family: Eukaryotic small subunit ribosomal RNA
Source: RNAcentral
AUUAGAUAAAAAACCAAUGCCCUUCGGGGCUUUAUGGUGAUUCAUAAUAACUUAACGAAUCGCAUGGCCUUGAGCCGGCGAUGGUUCAUUCAAAUUUCUGCCCUAUCAACUUUCGAUUGUAGGAUAGAGGCCUACAAUGGUUUCAACGGGUAACGGAGAAUUAGGGUUCGAUUCCGGAGAGGGAGUCUGAGAAACGGCUACCACAUCCAAGGAAGGCAGCAGGCGCGCAAAUUACCCAAUCCCGACACGGGGAGGUAGUGACAAUAAAUACUGAUACAGGGCUCUUUUGGGUCUUGUAAUUGGAAUGAGUACAAUUUAAAUCCCUUAACGAGGAACAAUUGGAGGGCAAGUCUGGUGCCAGCAGCCGCGGUAAUUCCAGCUCCAAUAGCGUAUAUUAAAGUUGUUGCAGUUAAAAAGCUCGUAGUUGAACCUUGGGUCUGGCUGGCCGGUCCGCCUCACCGCGUGCACUGGUCCGGCCGGACCUUUCCUCUUGGGGGAUCCGCAUGCCCUUUAAUUGGG